UACGUAGGGGGCAAGCGUUGUCCGGCUUUACUGGGUGUAAAGGGUGCUCCGGUGGUCUUGUAAGUCAAUGGUGAACUCCCAGAGCUCAACUCUGGACCUGCCUUUGAUACUACAAGGCUUGAGUAUGGAAGAGGUUGAUGGAAUUUCGGGUGUAGCAGUGAAAUGCGUAGAUAUCCGAAAGAACACCAGUGGCGAAGGCGGUCAACUGGUCCAUUACUGACACUAAAGCACGAGAGCGUGGGGAGCAAACAGG
This 253-nucleotide ribosomal RNA is filed under the name uncultured bacterium. RNAcentral's name for it is "partial 16S ribosomal RNA". It matches the Rfam family "Bacterial small subunit ribosomal RNA", at positions 524 to 776 of the family's 1533-position model. The record is from RNAcentral.